RNAcentral lists this transfer RNA (71 nucleotides) under Elusimicrobiaceae bacterium. RNAcentral describes it as "tRNA-Gln". It matches the Rfam family "tRNA". From Rfam's summary of the family: Transfer RNA (tRNA) molecules are approximately 80 nucleotides in length. The record is from RNAcentral. RNAcentral also lists the same sequence under 1 other name. Lineage: Bacteria; Pseudomonadati; Elusimicrobiota; Elusimicrobia; Elusimicrobiales; Elusimicrobiaceae.
UUCCGAGUGGUGUAGCGGUAACACGUCUCCCUUUGGAGGAGGAAUCCUAGGUUCGAUCCCUAGCUCGGAAG